CGAACGCUGGCGGCAGGCCUAACACAUGCAAGUCGAGCGCGCCCUCUCGAGGGCGAGCGGCGGACGGGUUAGUAACGCGUGGGAACGUGCCCAGAGGUGGGGAACAACUGCUGGAAACGGCAGCUAAUACCUCAUGAGCCCUACGGGGGAAAGAUUUAUCGCCUUUGGAUCGGCCCGCGUCGGAUUAGCUUGUUGGUGAGGUAACGGCUCACCAAGGCGACGAUCCGUAGCUGGUUUGAGAGGAUGAUCAGCAACACUGGGACUGAGACACGGCCCAGACUCCUACGGGAGGCAGCAGUGGGGAAUAUUGGACAAUGGGGGCAACCCUGAUCCAGCCAUGCCGCGUGCGUGAAGAAGGCCUUAGGGUUGUAAAGCGCUUUCACCGGUGACGAUGAUGACGGUAGCCGGAGAAGAAGCCCCGGCUAACUCCGUG
Molecule: ribosomal RNA, 433 nt
Filed under: uncultured bacterium
Lineage: Bacteria
Description: bacterial SSU rRNA
Rfam family: Bacterial small subunit ribosomal RNA
Source: RNAcentral